Molecule: unclassified non-coding RNA, 22 nt
Filed under: Mus musculus (house mouse)
Lineage: Eukaryota; Metazoa; Chordata; Mammalia; Rodentia; Muridae
Description: oocyte_clustered_small_RNA11459
Source: RNAcentral
UCAGCCGUCUGCCCUUGAAUCG